This 406-nucleotide ribosomal RNA is filed under the name uncultured bacterium. RNAcentral's name for it is "partial 16S ribosomal RNA". It matches the Rfam family "Bacterial small subunit ribosomal RNA", at positions 30 to 526 of the family's 1533-position model. The record is from RNAcentral.
AUUGAACGCUGGCGGCAGGCCUAACACAUGCAAGUCGAACGAGUGGCGGACGGGUGAGUAAUGUAUGGGAAACUGCCUGAUGGAGGCGGAUAACUACUGGAAACGGUAGCUACAACCGCAUACCCUCGGAUGUGCCCUGAUGGGAUUAGGUAGUAGGUGGGGUAAAGGCUCACCUAGGCGACGAGCCCUAGCUGGUCUGAGAGGAGGACCAGCCACACUGGAACUGAGACACGGUCCAGACUCCUACGGGAGGAAGCAGUGGGGAAUAUUGCACAAUGGGCGCAAGCCUGAUGCAGCCAUGCCGCGUGUAUGAAGAAGGCCUUCGGGUUGUAAAGUACUUUCAGCGGGGAGGCGUUACCCGCAGAAGAAGCACCGGCUAACUCCGUGCCAGCCGCCGCGGUAAUAC